This 1992-nucleotide ribosomal RNA is filed under the name human gut metagenome. Its description in RNAcentral is "bacterial LSU rRNA". It matches the Rfam family "Bacterial large subunit ribosomal RNA", at positions 911 to 2925 of the family's 2925-position model. The record is from RNAcentral.
UGAAUGUCCUAGGGGGUAUUGCACUUACCGAAGACUAUCAAACUCCGAAUGCCGUUUUCUUUUACUUGGGAGUCAGACUGUGGGUGAUAAGAUUCAUAGUCAAAAGGGCAACAGCCCAGAUCGUCAGCUAAGGUCCCUAAAUGUACGUUAAGUGGUAAAGGAUGUGGGAUUGCACAGACAACCAGGAUGUUGGCUUAGAAGCAGCCACUCAUUUAAAGAGUGCGUAAUAGCUCACUGGUCGAGUGAUCCUGCGCCGAAAAUUUCCGGGGCUAAAACGUACUACCGAAGCUACGGCAUCAUUUAUGAUGGGUAGGGGAGCUUCGUAUGCAGGCUGAAGCAUGACCGUAAGGACAUGUGGACAGUAUACGAGUGAGAAUGUUGGCAUGAGUAGCGAGACGUGGGUGAGAAUCCCACGGGCCGUAAACCCAAGGUUUCCAGGGGAAGGUUCGUCCGCCCUGGGUUAGUCGGGACCUAAGCCGAGGCCGAAAGGCGUAGGUGAUGGACAACAGGUUGAUAUUCCUGUACCGCCAAUAAGCGUUUGAGAGAUGGAGUGACACAGUAGGAUAAGCUAACCGUACUGUUGGUUAUGUACGGCUAAGCAUUGAGGCAGUCUAAAUAGGCAAAUCCGUUUAGACAAUGCUAGGAUGUGAUGGGGAAGCCCUUCGGGGCGAAGUAGCUGAUUUCACACUGUCAAGAAAAGCUUCUAUCGAGUUUAAAGGCGCCCGUACCGUAAACCGACACAGGUGGGUGAGGAGAGUAUCCUAAGGCCAGCGAGAGAACUAUUGUUAAGGAACUCGGCAAAAUGACCCCGUAACUUAGGGAGAAGGGGUGCCUGUCUAUGACAGGCCGCAGAGAAUAGGCCCAAGCGACUGUUUACCAAAAACACAGGUUUCUGCUAAGUCGCAAGACGAUGUAUAGGAGCUGACGCCUGCCCGGUGCUGGAAGGUUAAGGGGAUCUGUUAGAGCAAUCGAAGCAGUGAACUUAAGCCCCAGUAAACGGCGGCCGUAACUAUAACGGUCCUAAGGUAGCGAAAUUCCUUGUCGGGUAAGUUCCGACCCGCACGAAAGGCGUAACGAUUUGGGCACUGUCUCAACAAUAGACUCGGUGAAAUUGUAAUCCCGGUGAAGAUGCCGGGUACCUGCGACAGGACGGAAAGACCCCAUGGAGCUUUACUGUAGCUUGACGUUGGGUCUUGGUACUACAUGUACAGGAUAGGUGGGAGACUAUGAAGCAUGGACGCCAGUCUGUGUGGAGUCAUCCUUGGGAUACCACCCUUGUAGUACUGGGAUCCUAACCAUAGGCCUUGAAUCAGGUCUUGGAACACCGUCAGGUGGGCAGUUUGACUGGGGCGGUCGCCUCCUAAAAAGUAACGGAGGCGCUCAAAGGUUUCCUCAGCACGGUCGGAAAUCGUGCGAAGAGUGUAAAGGCAAAAGGAAGCUUGAUUGCAAGACAUACAGGUCGAGCAAGGACGAAAGUCGGACUUAGUGAUCCGGUGGUACCGCAUGGAAGGGCCAUCGCUCAACGGAUAAAAGCUACCCUGGGGAUAACAGGCUGAUCUCCCCCAAGAGUCCACAUCGACGGGGAGGUUUGGCACCUCGAUGUCGGCUCAUCACAUCCUGGGGCUGUAUUCGGUCCCAAGGGUUCGGCUGUUCGCCGAUUAAAGUGGUACGCGAGCUGGGUUCAGAACGUCGUGAGACAGUUCGGUCCCUAUCCGUCGCAGGCGUAGGAAAUUUGAGAAGACCUGUCCUUAGUACGAGAGGACCGGGAUGGACGUACCUCUGGUGUACCAGUUGUUCUGCCAAGGGCAUGGCUGGGUAGCUAUGUACGGAAUGGAUAAGCGCUGAAAGCAUCUAAGCGCGAAGCCAACUUCAAGAUAAGAUUUCCCACCGUAAGGGUAAGACCCCAGGAAGACUACCUGGUUGAUAGGUCGAAGGUGUAAGUGCAGUAAUGUAUUUAGCUUAUCGAUACUAAUAGGUCGAGGACUUGACCAA